RNAcentral lists this ribosomal RNA (404 nucleotides) under uncultured Roseomonas sp. Its description in RNAcentral is "bacterial SSU rRNA". It matches the Rfam family "Bacterial small subunit ribosomal RNA", at positions 30 to 478 of the family's 1533-position model. The record is from RNAcentral. Lineage: Bacteria; Pseudomonadati; Pseudomonadota; Alphaproteobacteria; Acetobacterales; Roseomonadaceae.
AGCGAACGCUGGCGGCAUGCCUAACACAUGCAAGUCGCGCGGUCAGCAAUGGCAGCGGCGGACGGGUGCGUAACGCGUAGGAACGUGUCUAGAGGUGGGGGACAACCCUGGGAAACUGGGGCUAAUACCGCAUAUGGGCUGAGGCCCAAAGCCGUGAGGCGCCUUUGGAGCGGCCUGCGUCCGAUUAGCUAGUUGGUGGGGUAAAGGCCUACCAAGGCUCCGAUCGGUAGCUGGUCUGAGAGGACGAUCAGCCACACUGGGACUGAGACACGGCCCAGACUCCUACGGGAGGCAGCAGUGGGGAAUAUUGGACAAUGGGCGCAAGCCUGAUCCAGCAAUGCCGCGUGGGUGAAGAAGGUCUUCGGAUCGUAAAGCCCUUUCGACAGGGACGAUGAUGACGGUAC